This 443-nucleotide ribosomal RNA is filed under the name uncultured bacterium. RNAcentral describes it as "bacterial SSU rRNA". It matches the Rfam family "Bacterial small subunit ribosomal RNA", at positions 958 to 1398 of the family's 1533-position model. The record is from RNAcentral.
AACGCGAAGAACCUUACCUGGACUUGACAUGCUGUUCGAUACAUUCAGAGAUGAGAGUAGACCCGCAAGGGAGAACAGACACAGGUGCUGCAUGGCUGUCGUCAGCUCGUGUUGUGAAAUGUUGGGUUAAGUCCCGCAACGAGCGCAACCCCUGUGCUUGGUUGCCAUCAUUAAGUUGGGCACUCCAAGCAGACUGCCGUCGUCAAGACGGAGGAAGGUGGGGAUGACGUCAAGUCCUCAUGGCCUUUAUGUCCAGGGCGACACACGUGAUACAAUGGUCGGUACAGAGGGUAGCCAAGUGGUGACACGGAGCCAAUCCCAAAAAGCCGAUCUCAGUUCGGAUUGGAGUCUGCAACUCGACUCCAUGAAGUUGGAAUCGCUAGUAAUCGCGGAUCAGCACGCCGCGGUGAAUACGUUCCCGGGCCUUGUACACACCGUACGUC